CCUUGUAAAUUAGGGCUCAGAGGCUUGUAUCACUUUUAUGAGUAUCAAAACCCUAGUUACACCGUAAACACAUAAAACCGAGCAUCAUCAGAUUAGAAACAUCGAAAAUUCAGAAACAAAACAACAAAUGAAGAAACUUUAAAAGAAAAACAAAAUCAAAACAAUUACUAAAAGGAAUAUUUGAAACCAAAAAGGGGCUACGGGAAACUUUUCUAAGGGCGGUGACGUCAAUUCAAUUUCCUGUUGAAACAGUGAGGAUCUAAAUUAGAGAUUAGGUGUUUGGGAUUGGAAAUUGUUGAUGAAAAGAAGUGAUUUUUCUUGUUUAGGGUUAUUGUUACGAGUGUACCGCGAAGAAGAACGGAGAGAAAGAUUGCGUGUGACGACUGACGAGUGGACGGCAGAAGAAGAUUGAGAUCGACAGUCUAUGAUUCCU
This 433-nucleotide long non-coding RNA is filed under the name Nicotiana tabacum (common tobacco). Its description in RNAcentral is "long non-coding RNA (NTAB_LNC009704)". The record is from RNAcentral. Lineage: Eukaryota; Viridiplantae; Streptophyta; Magnoliopsida; Solanales; Solanaceae.